Melospiza melodia melodia is the source of this 2532-nucleotide long non-coding RNA. RefSeq lists it as uncharacterized. The record is from RefSeq and is a predicted model, not a curated record. NCBI's taxonomy places the organism in Eukaryota, Metazoa, Chordata, Aves, Passeriformes, Passerellidae. The transcript has 3 exons.
AAAAAUAAAAAUGAGGGAGGAAAAAUAAAAAUGAGGGAGGAAAAAUCAAAAAAUGAGGCAGGAAAAAUAAAAAUGAAUGUGGACAGGAUGGUGGAAAAGGGAGAAGAGCAGCUCCUCACCAAUUUCUUUUUCAUUUUAGGGGUUUUUAGAGUAGGUUCUGCUUUAGUUCUGUACCGUGGUGAUUUAAAAAAUAGCAAAAAACAAAAAAAAACAAAGAUAAAAAUGCAGCAUUACAGAAAGAAUUUAUUCUUAGGGUCCUGUUGCUGGAGUGGCUUUGGUUUUGUGGGAUGUUUGGGGAUUUUUUUGUGGCUUGGGUUGUGUGGAAAUUCAAAAGGAUUUUGGUGGAAUGGAAGAGUUGGGUUGGAGAUAACGGAGAACCCAGAAUUUUGGAGGUGGGAAUAAACCCCUGAUGUUGGUCACACAUGGAACACAAAAAUAUUAAAAAAAAAAUAGGAUUUAGGGAAAUCUGGAAGCUGAACUCGUGUUUUCCUUCUGGAAAUUUCUUUGGUUUUUUUGGUUUAUUUUUUUUUCCAUUUGGAGUGGAAAAUUCCUUUAUUUUUCACUUGGAGCAUCCCCAGGCUUCAGAAUCCAUGGAAUCUUUGGGAUAAAACGUGUCAGAUUUUGGCAGAUUCAGUUCCAGAUUUUGGCACCUUCAAGCUCAGGUUUGCAAUAGGUCAGGAAGGGAUAAAACCCCUGGGGUUGGAAAAUUCCUUUAUUUUCACUUGGAGCAUCCCCAGUUUUCAUCAUCCAUGGAAUCUUUGGGAUAAAAUGUCCCAGAUUUUGGCAGGUUUGGCAGAUUCAGUCCCAGAUUUUGGAAGAUUCAGUUCCAGACUUUGGCACGUUCAAGCUCAGGUUUGCAAUAGGUCAGGAAGGGAAAAAACCCCUGGGGUUGGACAAUAUUUUAUUUUUUUACUUGGAACAUCCCAAACCUUCAGAAUCCGUGGAAUCUUUGGGCUAAAUUCCCUGGAAUUGGACAAUAUUUCUAUUAUUUUCACUUAGAACAUCCCCAGGUUUCAUCAUCCAUGGAAUCUUUGGGAUAAAAUGUGUCAGAUUUUGGCAGAUUCAGUUCCAGAUUUUGGCAGAUUUAGGCUCAGGUUUGCAAUAGGUCAGGAAGGGAUAAAACCCCUGGGGUUGGAAAAUUCCUUUAUUUCCACAAUUCCUUUUUUUUUUCACUUGGAGCAUCCCAAGGUUUCAGAAUCCAUGGAAUCUUUGGGAUAAAAUGUGCCUGAUUUUGGCAGAUUCAGUUCCAGAUUUUGGCACAUUCCAGCUCAGGUUUGCAAUAGGUCAGGAAGGGAAAAAACCCCUGGGGUUGGACAAUAUUUUAUUUUUUUACUUGGAACAUCCUAAAGCUUCAGAAUCCAUGGAAUCUUUAUGAUAAAUUCCCUGGAAUUGGACAAUAUUUCGAUUAUUUUCACUUAGAACAUCCCCAGGUUUCAUCAUCCAUGGAAUCUUUGGAAUAACAUGUGCCAGAUUUUGUCACAUUCAGUUCCAGAUUUUGGCACAUUUAGACUCAGAUUUGCAAUAGGAAAAUCCCUGGGGUUGGAAAAUUCCUUUUUUUUUUUCACUUACAGCAUCCCAAAGGCCUCAGAAUCUGUGGAAUCUUUGAGAUAAAUUCCCUGGAAUUGGACAAUUCCUUUUUUUUUUUUUUUUUUUUUUCCAUUUAUAGCAUCCCAAGGUUUCAUCAUCCAUGGAAUCUUUGGGAUAAAACGUGUCAGAUUUUGGCAGAUUCAGUUCCAGAUUUUGGCACAUUCAGGCUCUGGUUUGCAAUAGGUCAGGAAGGGAUAAAAUCCCUGGGGUUGGAAAAUUCCUUUAUUUUCACAACAUCCCGAGGCCUCAGAAUCCAUGGAAUCUUUGGGAUAAAUUCCCUGGAAUUGGACAAUUCCUUUUUUAUUUUCACUUUGAGCAUCUCCAGUUUUCAUUAUCCAUGGAAUCUUUGGAAUAAAAUUUGCCAGAUUUUGGCACAUUUGGCAGAUUCAGUUCCAGAUUUUGGCACAUUUAGGCUCUGGUUUGCAAUAGGUCAGGAAGGGAUAAAAUCCCUUGGGGUUGGAAAAUUCUUUGUUGUUACUUGGAGCAUCCCAAGGCAUCAAAAUCCAUGGAAUCUUUGGGAUAAAAUGUCCCAGAUUUUGGCAGAUUUAGUGCCAGAUUUUGGCACGUUCAAGCUCUGGUUUGCAAUAGGUCAGGAACCCAGAAAAUCCCUGGAAUUGGACAAUUCCUUAUUUUUUUUUUUUUUCCACUUACAGCAUCCCAAGGUUUCAGAAUCCAUGGAAUCUUUGGAAUAAAAUGUGCCUGAUUUUGGCAGAUUCAGUUCCAGAUUUUGGCAGAUUUAGGCUCAGGUUUGCAAUAGGUCAGGAAGGGAUAAAAUCCCUGGGGUUGGAAAAUUCCUUUAUUUUCACAACAUCCCCAGGUUUCAUUAUCCAUGGAAUCUUUGGGAUAAAAUGUGUCAGAUUUUGGCAGAUUCAGUUCCAGAUUUUGGCACCUUCAAGCUCAGGUUUGCAAUAGGUCAGGAAGGGAUAAAAUCCCUGGAAUUGGACA